GGACGGCUAAAUACGUGCCAGCAGCCGCGGUAAUACGUAUGUCCCGAGCGUUAUCCGGAUUUAUUGGGCGUAAAGCGAGCGCAGACGGUUGAUUAAGUCUGAUGUGAAAGCCCGGAGCUCAACUCCGGAAUGGCAUUGGAAACUGGUUAACUUGAGUGCAGUAGAGGUAAGUGGAACUCCAUGUGUAGCGGUGGAAUGCGUAGAUAUAUGGAAGAACACCAGUGGCGAAGGCGGCUUACUGGACUGUAACUGACGUUGAGGCUCGAAAGUGUGGGUAGCAAACAGGAUUAGAUACCCUGGUAGUCCACACCGUAAACGAUGAACACUAGGUGUUAGGAGGUUUCCGCCUCUUAGUGCCGAAGCUAACGCAUUAAGUGUUCCGCCUGGGGAGUACGACCGCAAGGUUGAAACUCAAAGGAAUUGACGGGGACCCGCACAAGCGGUGGAGCAUGUGGUUUAAUUCGAAGCAACGCGAAGAACCUUACCAGGUCUUGACAUCCUUUGAAGCUUUUAGAGAUAGAAGUGUUCUCUUCGGAGACAAAGUGACAGGUGGUGCAUGGUCGUCGUCAGCUCGUGUCGUGAGAUGUUGGGUUAAGUCCCGCAACGAGCGCAACCCUUAUUGUUAGUUGCCAGCAUUCAGAUGGGCACUCUAGCGAGACUGCCGGUGACAAACCGGAGGAAGGCGGGGACGACGUCAGAUCAUCAUGCCCCUUAUGACCUGGGCUACACACGUGCUACAAUGGCGUAUACAACGAGUUGCCAACCCGCGAGGGUGAGCUAAUCUCUUAAAGUACGUCUCAGUUCGGAUUGUAGUCUGCAACUCGACUACAUGAAGUCGGAAUCGCUAGUAAUCGCGGAUCAGCACGCCGCGGUGAAUACGUUCCCGGGUCUUGUACACACCGCCCGUCACACCAUGGGAGUUUGUAAUGCCCAAAGCCGGUGGCCUAACCUUUGGAAGGAGCCGUCUAAGCAGACAAAA
Molecule: ribosomal RNA, 979 nt
Filed under: Leuconostoc mesenteroides
Lineage: Bacteria; Bacillati; Bacillota; Bacilli; Lactobacillales; Lactobacillaceae
Description: bacterial SSU rRNA
Rfam family: Bacterial small subunit ribosomal RNA
Source: RNAcentral